CCUACGGGUGGCAGCAGUGAGGAAUAUUGGUCAAUGGCCGGAAGGCUGAACCAGCCAUGCCGCGUGAAGGUCAGUGCCCUAUGGGCGUUAAACUUCUUUUGUGCGGGAGCAAUAAUGGUCACGUGUGGCCAGACGAGAGAACCGUAAGAAUAAGCAUCGGCUAACUCCGUGCCAGCAACCGCGGUAAUACGGGGGAUGCAAGCGUUAUCCGGAUUUAGUGGGGUUAAAGGGUGCGUAGGCGGUGAGGUAAGGCAGCGGGGAAAAGCCCCCGCUCAACGGGGUGAAGUGCCAUUGAUACUGCCUUGCUGGAAUGCGGAUGCAGUGGGAGGAAUGUGUGGUGUAGCGGUGAAAUGCUUAGAUAUCACACAGAACACCGAUUGCGAAGGCAUCUCACG
This 395-nucleotide ribosomal RNA is filed under the name uncultured bacterium. RNAcentral's name for it is "partial 16S ribosomal RNA". It matches the Rfam family "Bacterial small subunit ribosomal RNA", at positions 338 to 730 of the family's 1533-position model. The record is from RNAcentral.